UACGGAGGGUGCAAGCGUUAUCCGGAUUUACUGGGUUUAAAGGGUGCGCAGGCGGAUAUGUAAGUCAGUGGUGAAAUCUCCGGGCUUAACCCGGAAAUUGCCGUUGAUACUAUAUAUCUUGAAUGCUGUGGAGGUAAGCAGAAUAUGUCAUGUAGCGGUGAAAUGCUUAGAUAUGACAUAGAAUACCUAUUGCGAAGGCAGCUUACUACACAGAUAUUGACGCUCAUGCACGAAAGCGUGGGGAUCAAACAGG
Molecule: ribosomal RNA, 253 nt
Filed under: uncultured bacterium
Lineage: Bacteria
Description: partial 16S ribosomal RNA
Rfam family: Bacterial small subunit ribosomal RNA
Source: RNAcentral